Molecule: ribosomal RNA, 397 nt
Filed under: uncultured microorganism
Description: bacterial SSU rRNA
Rfam family: Archaeal small subunit ribosomal RNA
Source: RNAcentral
GUGCACCAGGCGCGAAACCUUCGCAAUGCAGGAAACUGCGACGAGGGAACUCCAAGUGCCUACGCUCAGCGUAGGCUGUUCUCAAGCCUAGAAAGCUUGAGGAGUAAGGGCUGGGUAAGACGGGUGCCAUCUGUGGUAGCAGUCAAUAGAUUCGAUUUGUUACUGCAAGGCAUAAGCCGCCGCGGUAAUACCCGCAGCCCAAGUGGUGGCCGCUUUUAUUGGGCCUAAAGCGUCCGUAGCCGGCCCGGUAAAUGCCUGGGUAAAUCGUGGAGCCCAACUUCACGAAUUCCGGGUAGACUGCCGAGCUCGGGACCGGAGAGGGAGAGGGUACUUCGAGGGGUAGGGGUGAAAAUUUCCUUUCCGAUUAACGCUUUUGCGCGAAGCGGAAAGGGUUAUC